Molecule: Y RNA, 101 nt
Filed under: Prolemur simus (greater bamboo lemur)
Lineage: Eukaryota; Metazoa; Chordata; Mammalia; Primates; Lemuridae
Description: Y RNA (ENSPSMG00000023701.1)
Rfam family: Y RNA
About the family: Y RNAs are components of the Ro ribonucleoprotein particle (Ro RNP), in association with Ro60 and La proteins. The Y RNAs and Ro60 and La proteins are well conserved, but the function of the Ro RNP is not known.
Source: Rfam by way of RNAcentral
GGCUGGACCGAGAGGAGUGGUGUUUACAACUAAUUGAUCACACUAGUUAUACAUUUCUUUGUUCUUUCUCCAUGCCCACUGCUUCACUUGUCUAGCCUUUA